This 253-nucleotide ribosomal RNA is filed under the name uncultured bacterium. RNAcentral describes it as "partial 16S ribosomal RNA". It matches the Rfam family "Bacterial small subunit ribosomal RNA", at positions 524 to 776 of the family's 1533-position model. The record is from RNAcentral.
UACGUAGGGGGCAAGCGUUGUCCGGAAUCAUUGGGCGUAAAGCGUGUGUAGGCGGAUGCCUAAGUACCUUGUGAAAUCCCACGGCUCACCCGUGGAACUGCUUGGUAUACUGGGUGUCUUGAGCCACUUAGGGGCUACCGGAACAAAUGGUGGAGCGGUGAAAUGCGUAGAUAUCAUUUGGAACGCCAACGGUGAAAACAGGUAGCUGGGAGUGUGCUGACGCUGAGACACGAAAGCCAGGGGAGCAAACGGG